This 497-nucleotide ribosomal RNA is filed under the name uncultured bacterium. RNAcentral's name for it is "partial 16S ribosomal RNA". It matches the Rfam family "Bacterial small subunit ribosomal RNA", at positions 28 to 507 of the family's 1533-position model. The record is from RNAcentral.
GAUGAACGCUGGCGGCGUGCCUAAUACAUGCAAGUCGAGCGAACGGAUGAGAAGCUUUCUUUUCUGAUGUUAUCGGCGGACGGGUGAGGAACACGUGGUUAACCUAACUAUAAGACUGGGAUAAUUUUGGGAAAUCGGAGCUAAUACCGGAUAAUAUUUUGAACUUGAUUGUUCAAAAGUGAAAGUAGGUCUUUGUGUCACUUAUAGAUUGCUCCGCGCUGCAUCAGUUAGUUGGUAAGGUAGCGGCUUACCAAGGCAACGAUGCAUACCCGACCCGAGAGGGUGAACGGCCAGACUGGAACUGAGACACGGUACAGACUCCGACGGGAAGAAACGGUCGGGACUCCUCCGCGAUGCACGAGAGGCGAACAGAGCAACGCCGGGUAAGUGAUGAACGUCUUCUGAUCGUAGAACUCUGUAAUUAGGGAAGAUGAAAAGUGUAAGUACCUGUGAUGAUCAUGACGGUACCUAAACAAUAAGCCACGGCUAACUCCGUG